AUGAUAGCGACUGUUUAUAUGGAUGAAUAGAGAUGAUAGCGACUGUUUAUAUGGAUGAAUAGAGAUGAUAGCGACUGUUUUUAUGGAUGAAUAGAGAUGAUAGCGACUGUUUUUAUGGAUGAAUAGAGAUGAUAGCGACUGUUUUUAUGGAUGAAUAGAGAUGAUAGCGACUGUUUAUAUGGAUGAAUAGAGAUGAUAGCGACUGUUUAUAUGGAUGAAUAGAGAUGAUAGCGACUGUUUUUAUGGAUGAAUAGAGAUGAUAGCGACUGUUUAUAUGGAUGAAUAGAGAUGAUAGCGACUGUUUAUAUGGAUGAAUAGAGAUGAUAGCGACUGUUUAUAUGGAUGAAUAGAGAUGAUAGCGACUGUUUUUAUGGAUGAAUAGAGAUGAUAGCGACUGUUUAUAUGGAUGAAUAGAGAUGAUAGCGACUGUUUUUAUGGAUGAAUAGAGAUGAUAGCGACUGUUUAUAUGGAUGAAUAGAGAUGAUAGCGACUGUUUUUAUGGAUGAAUAGAGAUGAUAGCGACUGUUUAUAUGGAUGAAUAGAGAUGAUAGCGACUGUUUAUAUGGAUGAAUAGAGAUGAUAGCGACUGUUUUUAUGGAUGAAUAGAGAUGAUAGCGACUGUUUUUAUGGAUGAAUAGAGAUGAUAGCGACUGUUUUUAUGGAUGAAUAGAGAUGAUAGCGACUGUUUUUAUGGAUGAAUAGAGAUGAUAGCGACUGUUUUUAUGGAUGAAUAGAGAUGAUAGCGACUGUUUUUAUGGAUGAAUAGAGAUGAUAGCGACUGUUUUUAUGGAUGAAUAGAGAUGAUAGCGACUGUUUUUAUGGAUGAAUAGAGAUGAUAGCGACUGUUUUUAUGGAUGAAUAGAGAUGAUAGCGACUGUAAUUUAUAAACGUAACAAGAGUGCCAAUCAUAACAGUAGGAAUAAGUUUAAUAAGAGGCAAUACAGCAUACUUUUGAGUUGCCUUCAUACCCGUAAAUAUUAAAGAAAGAAAAGGAAGGUAGAAAAGAGAGAGAAAAUUAGACCUUACCUGCAGUCUCGCACAGGGCAGCCAAAGGUGUUUAUGGGCUAAUUAACAUCACGCUCCUACCUGUGUUAGUACCGCUACCCUUCCUGGGCCUUUAACUUGUAAAAAUAUAUUAAGUAAGAAAGUUAAAAAGAAAAUCGUGUGACCGUAAUUCCAGGAGUAAGAUAAUUAACAAAAGCUGAACAUGACAUUUCUUCUUUGUUAGUGUCCUUAUUUUUUACCUUUAAACCUGUAAGACCAUAUAGUAAAAUGAAUGAAAAAGAAAAGAAAAAGAGAAGAAAAAGAAAGAAAGGAAAGAAAAAAGUGGAAGAAAGAAAGAAAGAAAAGUGAAGGAGAGAAAGAAUGAAAGAAAGAGAAAGAGAAAAAGAAGAAUAGAAAGACAGAAAGGAAAAGAAAGGAAGAAAAAAAAGAAAGAAAAGAAAAAUUGAAGGAGAGAAAGAAUGAAAAAAAGAGAAAGAAAGAAAGAAAAAGAGACCGGCACACAGAAAGAAAGAAAAAGAAAAAUAGAAAGAAGGAAAGAGAAAAAAGCGAAAAAGAAAGAAAAAGAAAGGUAAAAAAGAAAGUAAGAAAGAAUAAAAAGAAAAGUUAGAUAUAUUAUCGUAUUGCGAGUAUGAAUAACAAAACUAACAAGACCGGGGGAAGUAACAUCGCUCGCAAUACUUAACAGAUCAUAACCUAAAAUUUCUUGUGUGUGCGGCAACAAAAAAGCCGGCAAUAAAAGGGUAAUAAAAGGCGGGAGUACUAGAGGGUCAUUGGCAGUAAUUAAGGGGCAGGUGGCGUUAAUGGUAGCGGUGGCGACGUGACCCACUAUUAGGAACGAGAACAGGAGGGUAGUAAGAUAGCGAAACACGAAGAAUGUAAGUAGGUGUGUCAGUAAGGUGAGAAAAGACGGAUAAUGACACAACAGGCGACUCAGGAACAUAAGGAAACGCGAAGAGGGAGAACAGUUGUAAUAUUUGUUGUAAUGUUGUAAUAUAAAGGUAAGGAAACGCAAGGAAGGAGGACAGGAGGGCAGUAAGAGAGCGAAACACGAAGAAUGUAAGUAGGUGUGUCAGUAAGGUGAGAAAAGACGGAUAAUGACACAACAGGAGACUCAGGAACAUAACGAAACGAGAAGAAUGAGAACAUUUGUAAUAUUAAGCUAAGGAAACGCAAAUAAGGAGAACAGGAAGACCAAUAAGAUAAUGAAACACGAAGAUUGAGAAAAAAAUGUGUCAGUAAGGUAAAAAAAAGACGAAUAAUGACAGAACAGGAGACUCAAGAACAUAACGAAACGAGAAGAAUGAGAACAGUUGUAAUAUUAAGCUAAGGAAACGCAAAUAAGGAGAACAGGAAGACCAAUAAGAUAAUGAAACACGAAGAUUGAGAGUAGGUGUGUCAGAAGGUAGGAAAUCACGAAUAAUGAGAAAAAGUGAGUUAAUAAAGAAAAUAAAAGAAGCGGAAACAAACUUAUAAGCAUCGCUGAUAAUGAUAAAGCAAGAUUAGUAUAUGUAAAUGAACGCUGCUAAAUAAUGCCGUUUGUAGUAAUCUUCCACCAGUAACAAUACGUAUAAGAGCAAUAGCAGUGCCAGUAACGGUUAAAGAAGUGCAGGUAACGUUGAUGCAGCAUAAAAGAGUACAUUUGUGUCAGAGUAAAAUGAAAGGAAAAUAAUUUAAGCGAUACGUAGAAAGGAAGACUGGAGAACUUAAGAUCGAGACAGCAUAUUCUUUCCUAUUAACCAACACGAAAGUAAGAACAGUGCCAAUAACAUCAGUAACUUUACAAUUACAAAAAAGUAGGAAAAGAAAAAGGUCUAGGUAGUAAAAAAAAAAUGGUACAGGAAUAGGAAGUAGAAAAAGAACACUGACUACUUAAGACCCAGAGUUCAUGAAGUUUACUUUCUAACCAAUAGUAAAGUAAAAAAUAAUGCCAAUAAGAUCAAUAACCGUGCAAGUGCCAAGACACCUUUCCAUCCGAAUUGACAAUCCUCUGCCUUGUCAUACUAUUUUAUUUUUUAGGUGCUGAGUGAGGAAAGGAAAGUAAGAUAAACAAACCUGGUUACAUGAUGAAUAAGAGAGAAAAAUUGUUGGAAUAGAGAAAAUAAUGUACUCAAUCGUGGGUCAACUUUACUUACUUUCUUUUUUUUCCUUGUUUUUGCCCUUGAGUUGUUUCCGUGGCUGUGAAAAAAAAAAAAAACCGGUGAUGCAGUGCCGCCAAGACGGACCUCACUGCCGGGAACAGUUAGGGAGGAACGGGGGAGGGAAAGGGGGGGGGGGGUAUCAGCGGUGUCACAAUAGGGAACAAUGGUGGACGAAACAGUUUAUUCAGGUCACGCAAUAAAAAAUAAAAAGAUGUUAAUUUUUUGUGUGCUGUGUACCCGGUUUGUUUUGGAAGCGCCAGUCACCGCGUCCAUUGUUGUGAGGCCGUUGAGUGAGGAAAGGAAAGUAAAAUAAACAUACCUGGUUACAUGAAUAAGAGAGAAAAUUUGUUGGAAUAGAGAAAAUAAUGUGCUCAAUCGUGGGUCAACCUUACUUUCUUUUUAAUUUAACUUUGAUUCAUCGUUGAGUGAGAAAAGGAAGGUAAAAUAAGCAGGCCUGGUUACAUAAAUGAAUAAAUUGAAAGGGAGAGUUGAAAUAAUGUACUCAGUCGUGGGUCAACUUUAUAUUCUUUCUGAUUUAGCUUUGAUUCGUCGUUGAGUGAGAAAAGGAAAGUAGAGUAAACAAAACUAGUUACAUAAAUGAAUAAAUUAAAAAGCAGAGUUGAAAUAAUGUACAUAAUCGUGGGUUAACUUAAUAUUCUUUCUGAUUUAGCUUUGAUUCGUCGUUGAGUGAGAAAAGGAAAUUAAAUAAAGUAGAACAUACAAACCUGAUUACAUGUAUGAAUAAAAUAAUAAAGAAAUAGUUGAAAUAAUAUACUCAAUCGUGAAUCAGCUUUAUUUUCUUCGUGAUUCAGCGUUAAUCUUUUUUUUUUUUAGUGUUCCGUGAAGCCUAUUCGUCGUUGUUAGUGUUGUUGUUUUGUGUUAUUUUCUCCCUCGCUUCCGUGUUCCGCUGUGUUGCAUAACGAUGAGGCGGCGGAAUUCCUGACGAGCCAACCUUAUCGACGGCCUCCACGCGCCCGCUGCCGUUUGUCAUAUCUCUCCAUCUUAGGUUAUAACAAUGACGGUGACAAUAAUAACAAUAACAAUAACAGCAAUAACAAUAUACGUAAUGGUCAUGUUCCUUUUCCUUUUUCUUGUGCCAUUUAUUUUCUUCCUCUUCUUCUUCUUCUUCUUCUUCUUCUUAUUAUUAUUAUUAUUAUUAUUAUUAUUAUUAUUAUUAUUAUUAUUAUUAUUAUUAUUAUUAUUAUCAGUAUUUUUAUCAUCAUCAUUAUCAUUAUUUUUAAGUGGUAUAGGUGAGGGAAAUACGAGUACCACCAACAACAGGAACCCAGCAAUAGUAUCAACAACAAAAACAAAAGUAGUCAUUACCAGAGCAGCAGAAUUUGUAGCAGUGGCAGUAGUAGCAGUAGCAGCAGUGUUAGUAGCAGAAGUAGCAGCAGCAGCAGUAGGCCCGUCCAGGUAACGCCUCUUUUCUGCAUAUUCAUGACACCCCGACCGUCCCUCCCUCAGGUGUGUUUACCCGAGUACCUCACCUGUCUGAGCCGCCCACACGCCGCCCACGACCCGCUUGUGUGUGUGUGUGUGUGUGUGUGUGUGUGUGUGUGUGUGUGUGUGUGUGUGUGUGUGAAUUAGCAGAACUAUAACUAUAAGAAAAAAACGUAUUUCCUCAUAGAAUAUUACAGUGAAGUUAUUUAAAGGGAAUAAAAGAAAGGAAAAAUGGAAAGUGAAAAGCAAAAACUAAAAAAAAAAAAGCAAACAAAGGUAAGGCAAAAAAAUAAUAAAAGAGAAGGAAGAAAAUAGAAGAGAGAGGGAAAGAAAAGAGCAAGGGAGGAAGGCAGGUGAGGUAAUCUGGCAGGUAUGGAGGGAGGAAAGGCAAGGCAAGGCAGGAUCAGAGAGAGAAGAAUAGAGGGAGGGACUGGAAGCAAUUCAAUUAUAUAUACUCGAGCAGAUUCCGGCCAGAUCGCAUUCGGCCGACGUUAAUAGGGAACGAGAAGGCUGCCGUGAUGAUAUUCGUGGGAUCCGAGCAGUUUUAUGGCGAUUUAAUGCGUUUCAACCCCUUUUCACGGCUGGCUAAUGGCAUUCUCACAUCAGGCAUCAAUUUUUGGGGUAUCUAUUAAAUCUGGCGUGAGUAAUUAACCUUAAUUUCGAGUUUCAGGUGAUGCUGAUGAUGGUGGUGGUGGUAGUGGUGGUUGUGGUGGUUGUGGUGGUUAUGGUGGUGGUGAUAGUGGUUGUGGUGGUGAUGGUGGUGGUGUGUGAAGGUUAUGUAAAGAAGCCCUCGGAUACUGCUUGUGUGUGUGUGUGUGUUUGUGUGUGUGUGUGUGUGUGUGUGUGUGUGUGUGUGUGUGUGUGAGUGUGUACAUUUUAUAA
This is a long non-coding RNA of Eriocheir sinensis (Chinese mitten crab), 5468 nucleotides long. RefSeq lists it as uncharacterized. NCBI's taxonomy places the organism in Eukaryota, Metazoa, Arthropoda, Malacostraca, Decapoda, Varunidae. The transcript is spliced from 2 exons. The record is from RefSeq and is a predicted model, not a curated record.